AACCAUUGUGAAUUGCAGAAUUUAGCAAAUCAAUAGGUUUCUGAAUGUAUUGUACACACUGCCUCUGUUUACACGCAGUGCACCCAUUUCAGCGCCUUUUAAAUUUCUGACUUAAUGUCGCGAUUGACUUGCAAAUAUUGCAAGUUUAAGUUGUGGCUGUGGCGCAAUCUCUCAUCUGCGCGAAGCUCUUUGAAACUUGGGCUGUUGCGUUGAUGAUUGAUCACGGCCCUAUUUUUUUUAUGGCCUGAAAUUGGAUGUGACGAUCCGCUGAAUUUAAGCAUAUAACUAAACGGAAGAAAAGAAAAUAACUAUGAUUCUCCUAGUAACGGCCAGUGAAA
Molecule: ribosomal RNA, 338 nt
Filed under: Babesia sp. 2 BCS-2013
Lineage: Eukaryota; Apicomplexa; Aconoidasida; Piroplasmida; Babesiidae
Description: eukaryotic LSU rRNA
Rfam family: Eukaryotic large subunit ribosomal RNA (bases 241-338)
Source: RNAcentral